AAACUCAAAGGAAUUGACGGGGGCCCGCACAAGCGGCGGAGCAUGCGGAUUAAUUCGAUGCAACGCGAAGAACCUUACCAAGGCUUGACAUAUACGAGAACGCUCUAGAAAUAGAGAACUCUUUGGACACUCGUAUACAGGUGGUGCAUGGUUGUCGUCAGCUCGUGUCGUGAGAUGUUGGGUUAAGUCCCGCAACGAGCGCAACCCUCGUUCUAUGUUGCCAGCACGUUAUGGUGGGAACUCAUAGGAGACUGCCGGGGUCAACUCGGAGGAAGGUGGGGAUGACGUCAAAUCAUCAUGCCCCUUAUGUCUUGGGCUUCACGCAUGCUACAAUGGCCGGUACAAAGGGCUGCAAUACCGCAAGGUGGAGCGAAUCCCAAAAGCCGGUCUCAGUUCGGAUUGAGGUCUGCAACUCGACCUCAUGAAGUCGGAGUCGCUAGUAAUCGGAUCAGCAACGCUGCGGUGAAUACGUUCCCGGGCCUGUACACACCGCCCGUCAACGUCAUG
This 507-nucleotide ribosomal RNA is filed under the name uncultured Leifsonia sp. RNAcentral describes it as "bacterial SSU rRNA". It matches the Rfam family "Bacterial small subunit ribosomal RNA", at positions 897 to 1407 of the family's 1533-position model. The record is from RNAcentral. Lineage: Bacteria; Bacillati; Actinomycetota; Actinomycetes; Micrococcales; Microbacteriaceae.